UGGGGAAUAUUGGGCAAUGGGCGCAAGCCUGACCCAGCGACGCCGCGUGGGUGAUGAAGGCCUUCGGGUCGUAAACCACUGUCAGGAGGGAAGAACGGCGCCGGUUCGAACAGUUCCGGCGAUUGACGGUACCUCCAAAGGAAGCGCCGGCUAACUCCGUGCCAGCAGCCGCGGUAAGACGGAGGGCGCAAGCGUUGUUCGGAAUUACUGGGCGUAAAGCGCGGGCAGGCGGUCUGUUAAGUCGUUUGUGAAAAUCCGGGGCUCAACCCCGGAAAUGCAUACGAUACUGGCAGGCUGGAGACUGGUAGAGGCUAGCGGAAUUCCUGGUGUAGCGGUGGAAUGCGUAGAUAUCAGGAAGAACACCUGUGGCGAAGGCGGCUAGCUGGGCCAGUUCUGACGCUCAUCCGCGAAAGCGUGGGGAGCAAACAGGAUUAGAUACCCGCGUAGUCCCUGAGCGGGCUGGCAAGGCGCAU
This 473-nucleotide ribosomal RNA is filed under the name uncultured bacterium. RNAcentral's name for it is "bacterial SSU rRNA". It matches the Rfam family "Bacterial small subunit ribosomal RNA", at positions 355 to 825 of the family's 1533-position model. The record is from RNAcentral.